UUUCUUCAUUGUUAUGGUUUUGUCUGCUUUAUUGCAACUAAACAAAGAAAGUUUCCUCUCAGUAGUAAGUGAAGAGGAAACCACAACACUGAGCCACGGACACAGAGGAAGGAGGAGGGUUUUUCUAGAUGUGACUAAACUGAUCAAAGAGUUUUUUUAGGUUUAAUAUCAGCAAGUCUUAUGAUGGAGGAAACAUCUCUACUGCUGCUGCUCUUUGUGAGUUCACUGCUGUGCUGCACAACAAAUCAAGCUAACCUGACUGUGAGUUCCAGCAGCUCUCAGAUGUUUAAAGGAGGGUUUGUCUAUCUGAGCUGUGAGGAGGACGACAGCUCUGCGGGAUGGACGCUGAGGAGGAACACAACCACAGAAACCAGAGCUGAGUGUGGCGUUAAAUGGGGAAAAUCAACUGGUUCUUCUUGUAUCAUCAGCUACAUCCAAAGAGCGGACAGUGGAGUUUACUGGUGUGAGUCCAGAGAGGGAGCAACCAGUAACAGCAUCAACAUCACUGUCGCUGGUGGAUCAGUGAUCCUGCAGAGUCCUGUCCUCCCUGUGAUGGAAGGAGAUGAUGUCACUCUGCACUGUAAAACAGAGACCUCCAACCUCCUCCUAGCUGACUUCUAUAAAGAUGGCUCCCUCAUCAGGACUGAGCCUGCAGGUCACAUGACCAUCCAUCAUGUUUCUAAGUCUGAUGAAGGCCUCUACACGUGUCAUGUCAGCAGUCAUGGAGAGUCUCCACCCAGCUGGAUGACUGUCGCAAGUAAACCUACAACCACAGCCCCACCCCCUGCCUCAGCUCCCCUCCAGCUUGUCUUCAUACUGGCCUACCACCUAAUGGUGUUCUGUCCGUACUUCAUCUCCACUCUCAUCAUGGUGUCAUCAUAUCGACAUAGGCCCACAGGGAAUGACCUACCUGUCCCCAUGGCAAUACCCCUGCCCAACCAGACUGCAGAGGGAUUGGCUGAGGAAUAUGAUGGCAUCAUGGCAGUCACCACUGAACAUCACUUCUGAGCUGAACACAUCAGAGACAGUUUACAGUGACAGUAGUGAACUUUUCUGUGUGUUUGAUUGACAACAGCUGGCAGCCUACCAGUGGUACACCACACAGAACAAAGACAAAGUAAACUAAUUGCUGUAGCUAGAUCAUCGACAGACUGUGUUGUUAGCAGUGGUGUUGAAGAGAACCAGCAUCUAACGAGUCUGAAGUGACAUUUGCAGUCCACCAGCACUCCCACCAUUCAACGGCUGCUGGAGACGGGAGACUGUCAUGUCCUCACACAGACAGCUGCUCCGAUGACUUCCUCCUGUCCUGUACAUGAGCACCACCGACGCCCCCUGCUGACUGCUGACUGUCAUCUACAGAGCCAGCGCUGUGUAUGAACCCUGGAUUUUUUUUAUAACUAGCUGACCGUGAGGAGAUAUUUUGCUGAAUUUGACAAAAAGUGUGCUGGAUUAAAUUCUCUGACUUUACCUUUAAAUAUUUUGAAACAAACUCAGGCAAAGUUUAAAGGUAAAAGAGCAGAAAUGUUUUACUGAAGGUAAACUCAACUCAUACAGUAACCAGCUGCUGAUCUGUCACACACACACACACAGUCCCUGUCAUAACAGACGACCAUAUGGCCUUCAGACGUCUGUCACCAACCAGCUGUGUGUGUGUGUGUGUGUGUGUGUGUGUGUGUGUGUGUGUGUGUG
Thunnus maccoyii (southern bluefin tuna) is the source of this 1689-nucleotide RNA transcript. It is a transcript of the gene named low affinity immunoglobulin gamma Fc region receptor III-like, with no coding region annotated. Lineage: Eukaryota; Metazoa; Chordata; Actinopteri; Scombriformes; Scombridae. The record is from RefSeq and is a predicted model, not a curated record. The transcript has 8 exons.